This 521-nucleotide ribosomal RNA is filed under the name Mycolicibacterium mucogenicum. RNAcentral describes it as "bacterial SSU rRNA". It matches the Rfam family "Bacterial small subunit ribosomal RNA", at positions 130 to 665 of the family's 1533-position model. Lineage: Bacteria; Bacillati; Actinomycetota; Actinomycetes; Mycobacteriales; Mycobacteriaceae. The record is from RNAcentral.
CCUGCACUUUGGGAUAAGCCUGGGAAACUGGGUCUAAUACCGAAUAUGACCACGCUCUUCAUGGGGUGUGGUGGAAAGCUUUUGCGGUGUGGGAUGGGCCCGCGGCCUAUCAGCUUGUUGGUGGGGUAAUGGCCUACCAAGGCGACGACGGGUAGCCGGCCUGAGAGGGUGACCGGCCACACUGGGACUGAGAUACGGCCCAGACUCCUACGGGAGGCAGCAGUGGGGAAUAUUGCACAAUGGGCGCAAGCCUGAUGCAGCGACGCCGCGUGAGGGAUGACGGCCUUCGGGUUGUAAACCUCUUUCACCAGGGACGAAGCGCAAGUGACGGUACCUGGAGAAGAAGCACCGGCCAACUACGUGCCAGCAGCCGCGGUAAUACGUAGGGUGCGAGCGUUGUCCGGAAUUACUGGGCGUAAAGAGCUCGUAGGUGGUUUGUCGCGUUGUUCGUGAAAACUCACAGCUUAACUGUGGGCGUGCGGGCGAUACGGGCAGACUAGAGUACUGCAGGGGAGACUGGA